ACUGUAGGUGAAAGCUUACAUCUCUUCGGAGCAUUUUACGAGGUGCUGCAUGGUUGUCGUCAGCUCGUGCCGUGAGGUGUCGGGUUAAGUCCCCAUAACGAGCGCAACCCUACCUUUAGUUGCCAUCAGGUAAUGCUGGGGACUCUAAAGGAACUGCCUACGCAAGUAGUGAGGAAGGCGGGGAUGACGUCAAAUCAGCACGGCCCUUACGUCCAGGGCUACACACGUGCUACAAUGGCCGAUACAGAGGGCAGCUACCUGGUGACAGGAUGCAAAUCUCCAAAAGUCGGUCUCAGUUCGGAUCGGAGUCUGCAACCCGACUCCGUGAAGUUGGAUUCGCUAGUAAUCGCGCAUCAGCCAUGGCGCGGUGAAUACGUUCCCGGGCCUU
This 388-nucleotide ribosomal RNA is filed under the name uncultured Sphingobacteriales bacterium. RNAcentral describes it as "bacterial SSU rRNA". It matches the Rfam family "Bacterial small subunit ribosomal RNA", at positions 994 to 1382 of the family's 1533-position model. The record is from RNAcentral. Lineage: Bacteria; Pseudomonadati; Bacteroidota; Sphingobacteriia; Sphingobacteriales.